GAGAGCGUAGCUCAGUUGGUAGAGCAACUGACUUUUAAUCAGUAGGUCCAGGGUUCGAAUCCCUGCGCUCUCACCA
Molecule: transfer RNA, 76 nt
Filed under: Parahoeflea alexandrii
Lineage: Bacteria; Pseudomonadati; Pseudomonadota; Alphaproteobacteria; Hyphomicrobiales; Rhizobiaceae
Also listed under: 6 other names
Description: tRNA-Lys
Rfam family: tRNA
About the family: Transfer RNA (tRNA) molecules are approximately 80 nucleotides in length.
Source: RNAcentral